GCUAAAACAAUCUCAGGAGGGGGUAUCGCACUAAAGAUGUUUGCUACUUUCACAGGAUUUCAGGCUCAGGUUGUAAAACAACAAAGUGGAAUUUUAGCUGAACUCCAGAAAUUAAUUAGUUUCAUUAGUUGGUGGAUAAAUGGAGAUGGCUGGUGUGUUGGAUUCCAGCAGAGUUUCACCAUAGAGGGUUAAUGGGAGUCUGGCCUGGAAGCUUUCCCAGCUCUGGCCCAAGGCCACUUCAGCCAAUCACUCUAAACUCAUGGUCUAGUUGCACUGAGCUGCUGUUUUACACUUUUGCUUCCCCUCUGCCACAGCUAUAAGUUCAUUCAAAGCUGGAAAACAAUUGAGGAAUGGAGAAUUGAACGUUUUUCGGAGUGCCGGGGUUACCAAAGCUGCAUUUGUGUUGCAAAUACCUCCCCGCUGAGAAAUGCUUAUAAUAGGAGAAAUCAGUUGGACAGCAGUGAGGUUCAUGCCAGCGAACAACUGAAAGAAACCUGGCAACUAGGGGAAAAACACUCUCAAGUCCAUCCUGUCGAACAAAAGGCGGUCGACGCAUUGUGCAAAGAUGCAACGAGUUCUGCGUCCCAGGCACAUGACGUGCAUCAUGGAAACAUAUUGUAUCGAAAUCGUUUGUGGGAGAAUACCGGGGAUGAAAAAGAAUGGGGCGCUUUGAUCCGCGCCCUGGGGUCUCGAGCUCCCCGAGUGCGCGCAGACUGACUGCAAUGCCUUAUUCACUUUCAGAUAGACACACUUACAAACGCCACUGAAUGAAAUUUGCAUAUUUGUAAUUUAUCACAUUUUAGCCCGAGUUUUCCGUCUCUUUGCGGAAGGUAGAAGUCUGAAUAAAAAACUGGAUCAAUUAUCAACGCGAAGCUGUUCCCUUCUCAUAGGCAGAACGCUGGCUGGGAAAAUUAUAAAAGUAGUUGCUGUUAGGAAAAAAAAAAAAAAAAAGGAAAACUGCAAACAGUGAAAAAAUCGAACCUUUUAAGCCAAAUUGUACUUUUCAUUUUUGUUAUGUAAAAAAAAAAUAAAGAAAAAAAAUUAUGCUACAAAAAUUAUUAACACAAAGUAUUUGCAUAAUUUGCACGAUUCGAUCGUUUAUUUGUGGAACUGUUUCAUGCCUUGCGGAAUGGAGUGUAUUGAUAUGUUAACCGAAUUUUUCAAAUUUCUAAGCCCUUAUUCCUUGAAGAAUUAUCAGAGUAUGAGCAUUUCCUUGGCCAUGGGCUCGAACAAAAGCAGAAAACAUUAAUAAAAGUAUGGGACCCAGGCACUGAAAUGAAGUGACAGGCAGGGUCUGGAUAUCUUAGCACUGACACAAAACCGCAUACGGUAACUACAUGCCUGCCUUGAAAUACGAGAGUUUGAAUAAAGGAGCAGUAAUAUUUCAUAUGGGGCACGCAAAAGCUGGAUACAAUGCCUCUCAUAUUAAGAACAAUAUUCAGUCCAUUCUGUGGCGAACAAAGAUCAUAGCAAGACGUCUUUGAGGCUAAUUCAGUCAAAGGCACAUUUUGGCUUCCCCCGCGGUAAGGUCAGUGUCGUUGU
Molecule: long non-coding RNA, 1542 nt
Organism: Cyprinus carpio (common carp)
Lineage: Eukaryota; Metazoa; Chordata; Actinopteri; Cypriniformes; Cyprinidae
Source: RefSeq, a predicted model, not a curated record